UCUCUAGUAAUGAGAAAGCAAAAGAAAACCAACAGGUGUAGGGCACUGGCAGGCAGACACAUCCUUUCACUUGAGCUCAUGUGGAGAAACAAAUGCAAGCAACUCAUUGUCACCUUCAAGUUUAGCCAAGUCCUCUUCCUUCAUGUUAAUGUAUGCUUCUAUCUAUUCCACCACCAGACUUGGCGUCCAUGAAAACAACCAAGUUAUUUCAAGGGGAAAUACCACAAAAUACAAUCAAGGCACUUCUCCAAACACCAUCCUGGACAUUUUGGGAAUAGUAUCUAUAAAUAUAUACUUAUUGGCCUUACGAUUUUUUCUCACUUUUUCUUCUCUCUCAGCGCUCUCUCUGUAUCACUCUCUCUCUCUCUCUCGCACAAAGUCCAUUGUCGAGAACCAACAUCUGGGCAGAUUUGUCCCUUUAGUCACGAAUGGAAGCUAUCAGAAAGCAAGCGACCAGGCUUCGCGUCGCGAACGGGUCGUUAGGCAACAACAGGUGCUUUCAUACCAAUCCUAAUUCCACCAGAUCCAAUUUCAUUUAAUCGCUUUCAGUAUCUGCACUCUAUUCUGAUUCCGUAUUUGAUAUUUCUUAUUUUGACCAAUUUCCCCUUGAAUUAGGUCGACUUUCUUUUCCCUUGUCCUGUUUAUUUUCUUGGUGAAAUUCGCAAUCUUGUUCUGCCUGUAAUGCUUUAUUUUCGUUGGGUUUGUGAUUUUCAAUCCAACUCAACGCAUUUCCUUUUCAAAGUCGUAAACUUUUUUAUGAAUUUUGUUGAUUGACAUUUGAUGUGCUACCCAAAAGAGAGGCGAUAUUAAUUGUAUUCUUGCGCGUUAAUUGGUAAAUUGCUCGGAGAACAUUCUUGGAAUCUGUUUAUGGAAGAUUGCAAAUAGAAUACAUGGAUAGAACAAAGAAAUAUAUUUGUUGGUCCAUAAUGCCUUAAAAAAUUAGAGCCUACAGUGUGUGUUAUGGCUACAGGUCAGGCUUGUUCAUCCAAUGAAAAGUAAAUGUUGCUAUUAAGUUUUACAUAGAUAUGCUCCCUUAAAAGAAAUGGACAAUCAGUUAGAUUAAGGUAUGGUUUCACUCAAUAAAUUCAAUAGAAAUUAGCCAUUUGAGAAGUUUUUGCCAACAAAUGUGUUAAGAGAUUUCAGUUUCUGCUGUAACUUUGUUCUCAUGUCACAUUUUCUGUUCCUGUAGUCAUAUUCAUAAACAUGCCUUGAAAAGUAUAUGGUACAUCUUCAACUACAUCCCAUCAAGUUGAAGCUCCUAUUUAAAGAAUUUGAUGUUGAGGACUUCAAUGAACUCACUUAAACUGAUAAGGUCUCUAGUCUGAAAAACAUAGUUGGUUAUUUACUGUGAAUAGGUUGUGUAUCUGUUAUUGAUGUAAUUUUGUAUUCCCUUUUCUCCAUUUUAAAAGAACUCUUUGCCAAUGUUAAAGGUGAACCCAGAAGAACCAAGUAUUCUAAAAGUUGCUGUUGUACAUUAUACAAAUGUUCUUUGGUUGAGUCUUUUUAAUAAGGGUAGGAUUUUGAAGGUGGACAUUUAUUAGCUGUAGGUGAAGUCAUUGCUAGCAGUUGGCUUGUACUUAGUAGCAUGCAAUAGUCAUCUUCUUAAGUUGUCUGAGAAGUGGAACUUAUUUGGGCCUUUGAAAUUCAAAUUUGUUUUUUACUGC
This is a long non-coding RNA of Prunus persica (peach), 1664 nucleotides long. RefSeq lists it as uncharacterized. The record is from RefSeq and is a predicted model, not a curated record. The transcript is spliced from 2 exons. NCBI's taxonomy places the organism in Eukaryota, Viridiplantae, Streptophyta, Magnoliopsida, Rosales, Rosaceae.